Molecule: ribosomal RNA, 253 nt
Filed under: uncultured bacterium
Lineage: Bacteria
Description: partial 16S ribosomal RNA
Rfam family: Bacterial small subunit ribosomal RNA
Source: RNAcentral
UACGGGGGGGGCAAGCGUUGUUCGGAAUUACUGGGCGUAAAGGGCUCGUAGGCGGCCAACUAAGUCAAACGUGAAAUCCCUCGGCUUAACCGGGGAACUGCGCUUGAUACUGGAUGGCUUGAGAUUGGGAGAGGGAUGCGGAAUUCCAGGUGUAGCGGUGAAAUGCGUAGAUAUCAGGAGGAACACCGGUGGCGAAGGCGGAUCUCUGGGCCUUACCUGACGCUCAGGUGCGAAAGCUAGGGGAGCGAACAGG